UGGCAACACGGAUGGGCACCAAAGCUGCUUCCAGCAGACCCCAAAGCACAGCCCAGCACCCAAACCAAAUGCUCUCUCCACCUCCAAGCAUUGCACAUAUGCUUGACAGGAGUCCAGGCACAAGACAGACUAGUCCAUGCUGUGUCAGUGCCCAAAGAUAAGCAGCGAGGGUGGUGUGUUCACAAUCCAUUGCUCAGUGACAUCACAGCCUGUUGUAUGUCACUGCAGUCCAUCUGUCCCCACAACACUCACUCCAGCAUCACCUCCCAUUUUGCCUUCUCCUGGGUACCGCUGUUUUCCAUCAGGCUCCGAGGACUGAGGAUACUUGCUCAAUCCUUUCCUCAUUUCCUCUUCUGUCACGUUUUCUCAAUGCCUGAUCAUUUCCGUUGCUGAUCACUCAGAGGGAAGAAUAAUUGGCACAGAAAACACAAGGGUAGCCAAGAAGUUAUAAAUGGAAUGGCAUUAAUAGCAAGCAUGCACUGAAAGAUACAAGUUGAUUGUUAAGCUAAUUAAAAGUAAUGGUAUAGAGUCAGAAAAAAUAUGUUCUGGCUCAGUGUUAUCUGGUUAUGUCAAAAAUAUAACGGAAAAUAACUUUAUACUACUUCAAAUGGUCUAAAUAUUAAUUAAAUUGCCUUUAGAUGCACCCAAAUCUAAGUUUGUUAUAGAAAUUAUCUGCAGAGAUUUGAUCUCCUCCUCAAGAACAAUAAAGAAGAAUGUAUCCCUAAGGUGUUAGGCA
This 736-nucleotide long non-coding RNA is filed under the name Numida meleagris (helmeted guineafowl). RNAcentral's name for it is "lncRNA (ENSNMEG00000010510.1)". Lineage: Eukaryota; Metazoa; Chordata; Aves; Galliformes; Numididae. The record is from RNAcentral.